This 205-nucleotide long non-coding RNA is filed under the name Physcomitrium patens. RNAcentral's name for it is "long non-coding RNA (PPAT_LNC003141)". The record is from RNAcentral. Lineage: Eukaryota; Viridiplantae; Streptophyta; Bryopsida; Funariales; Funariaceae.
GAUGAUAAUGAAGUUGGAAGAAAUAGAAGUCAAGAUCAAGUGUCAAAGAAGGUAAAUCAUAGUGUGCCUUCAAUUGCUAAACCAACGAUGAAGACAAUGAAGAUAUUGAAGGUGAUAAUAAUGAUGAAGAAUAUCAACCUUUGAGUGAGAAAAGAUAAGUAUUGAGGAAGAAGAAGGAUAGAAUGCAAGAAGAAAGAUCUUCUUC